CAUCCAAUCUGGUUCCAACAGUCUUCGAUACACCCACACCUCCAUGGCUGCAUCAAACCAUCAACCAUCAUCACGCAGUUUAUCAGUUGGCCUGAAAUAGAUGUUCGAUUUCUGCAUGGCCAGAACAUGGAAGCUGAUUAGAUAUUAGAGAGGAACACAAUCACAUGCAGCAGUACAGGAAGGAUUGGAUCGUACAUAGUAUCUCAUAGAUCGAUUCCAGUAGGGUGGAGUUAGCGCCUCCACUCCCACGCACUACUCUCGGGCAUGAUUUUUUUUCAAUAACCUGUUGGUA
This 292-nucleotide long non-coding RNA is filed under the name Triticum aestivum (bread wheat). Its description in RNAcentral is "long non-coding RNA (TAES_LNC024264)". Lineage: Eukaryota; Viridiplantae; Streptophyta; Magnoliopsida; Poales; Poaceae. The record is from RNAcentral.